Molecule: small RNA, 1365 nt
Filed under: Drosophila virilis
Lineage: Eukaryota; Metazoa; Arthropoda; Insecta; Diptera; Drosophilidae
Description: GJ25662
Source: RNAcentral
UGCUUCACGGAUUUGUUGCACUCGCGUGUCUAAUCGGGCUUUAAAUCAGCAAGAAUCAGUUCAAACUGAUCACAAUAUACAUUAAGAUCGUUGAGUAACUUAUACAGAACGCCUUCAAUCGAUGUCCGACAUGUCCGCCUAUAAAAGUAUUUGUUUCUAUGCAAACUAAUCUCUUUGCAUUUACAUAGGACAGUAAAUUGUUGCAGACAGUACGUUUGUCGGAGUUUGGCGGAUUGCUACUUAUAAGAAAUACAUAUCACAGGACUGAUUGGUCGAUUGGCCGUCUGCUUGUACCGAUGCAAACUAGUGUGCCAGUUUCAAAGCUUUUGUCAUGAAAUCUAACAGAGAUCCGUCAUGGUUUUACAGGCAGAUCGGUGCACUAUGAUUGUACUCAAAAUAUAUUUCUAGUAUGCCGUCAACUUAGUACCAAAUGCAAACCUGGCACAAUAACAACAGCGAAGAGAGCACGCGCCAAAAACUCACCAAAAAUGAAGCGACAAUGCAGCAGCAGCAGCAGCAAGGCCAUUAUGCCGCACACACACACACACACACACACACACAGCGACAAAUUGGUCUGACAGCAUCGGAUGGGGCAUUUCUAACUAUGCGACCUCAACACCAGUAACCAACACCAACAACAUGCACCGCACCCUCUGCUUCUUCCAACCGAAAACUCGCAACAACAAAUGAAAAUUCCAAGAAUAUUCGCAUUCGCAGUGAGUUUUGGCUUUUGCGGCUGCCAGUCGCUGUUUACUUGGCUUCCCCGGUUAUUUACGGCCUGCAAAUUUUUUGCUAUCCUAUUUGGUUUCUAUAUACCAAUUUUUUGUUUCUUUUCUUUUUUAUUUAUUUAUUUUUUUUUUUGGUUCAUUGUUUGUUGCUGGCUCGUUGCCAAAAGGGAAAUAUGUGUUGUGAAAAUUGCACAUUUUUAUAGCCAUCGCUAGGUGCUAAACUAUGGGUAUCUGCUCCUUUGCUCCCACUCCGAUUCUGACCUUUUUAAUUGCGCUGCAAUUUUUUAGUAUCGAUUUUUGAUUUGUUGUUAAAAUAAGAGAAUUUUCAACGCAUUUCGUGUAAUUUGAUUAUGGUUCCUCGUUUUCGCCACGCCAUUCGCUAAUUAGGCCCAUGAAGCUGCGACGUGUAUGGCUCGUUUGGCUUGUUGCAUAAUUUAUUUUUCAUAUGUAGCAAAGCCGCACAAUUUGCAUAUAUUUUGUAGUCGUGUAAACAAGUAAGCAAGUUAGUUAUUACGAAUGUGGGAUGCUCUUUCGAAUUAUGCAGACAUUUUCGCGCCGAUGCCCUUGAGGCCUUAAACCGAGCACUGUUCACAAUUAACAUUUGUUUUUGAUAAACACUUUCGAUAGAUUUUCAGAU